GCCCAAACUUAGUCCAACCAUACCCACUAAACUUCUACAAACCCAAAAACAAAACAUUUAAUUAGGAAAGUAAUGGAGAUUAAACCCCGACACCAGGCACCAUAGUACAUGUACCGUAAGGGAACACUAAAAUCACCGCAAGAAGCGAAAAAAAGCAGAGAUAAGCCCUCGUACCUUUUGCAUCAUGGUUUAGCAAGAACCAAACCAACAAGCAGGAACAAGUUGGUCACCCCGAAAUCAAGUGAGCUACUUCCGAGCAACCUAACGGGUGAACCCGUCCAUGUAGCAAAAUGGUGGGAUGACUUUGAAGUAGAGGUGAAACGCCAACCGAACUUGACGAUAGCUGGUUGUUCACAACAGAAUUUAAGUUCUACUUUGGGUAAAGGAGGAAAUAAAACCGACCCAGAGGCAGUCUCUGGGGGGACAGCCCUAGAGACACGGGAUACAGCCCCGAAUUGAGAGAAAGACACACACCAAAGAUCAGUUGGCCUUGAAGCAGCCACCAACAAUAAUAGCGUCCAAGCAUCAUAAGAAAAAAUGCCAAGAGACAAACCAAUCUCCAAUAGAAAAAUGAACAACUCUAUCAUUAUAGAGGCUACAAUGCUAAAACUACUAAUAUGAUACCCCCCUUUCAGCACACCUGCCCCUCUGAACCAGAGCUAUAACAGACAACCGGGCUGAUCAAUUGCACUUAGCCCCACCCUCCUUCCCUGUGGACCCGACUCAGGAGUGCAAAGAUAAAAUUAAAAGUCUCAAAAGGAACUCGGCAAACUAAAGUCCCAACUGUUUACCAAAAACAUAGCCUUUAGCCAAACAAGUAUUAAAGGUGACGCCUGCCCAGUGAAUAUUUCAACGGCCGCGGUACCCUAACCGUGCAAAGGUAGCGUAAUCACUUGUCCACUAAUUAUGGACUAGUAUGAAUGGCAACAUGAGGGCUAAACUGUCUCUUGAGACCGAUUUAUUAAACUGAUCUUCUAGUUCAAAAGCUAGAAUACCGCAAUAAGACGAGAAGACCCUGUGAAGCUUUAAGGACCUUGCUAACUCACUUAGCAACAACUUUUAGUUGGGGCAACUUUGGAGCAAAGCUAAACCUCCAAAAACCCUCAAAGACACACAAGUCAAGAACGACCCAGUACAGCUGAUCAAUGGACCAAGUUACUCCAGGGAUAACAGCGCAAUCCUCUUCAAGAGCCCAUAUCAAAAAGAGGGUUUACGACCUCGAUGUUGGAUCAGGACACCCAAAUGGCGCAGCCGCUGUUAAAGGUUCGUUUGUUCAACGAUUAAAGU
Molecule: ribosomal RNA, 1287 nt
Filed under: Indotyphlops braminus (Brahminy blind snake)
Lineage: Eukaryota; Metazoa; Chordata; Lepidosauria; Squamata; Typhlopidae
Description: partial 16S ribosomal RNA
Rfam family: Bacterial large subunit ribosomal RNA
Source: RNAcentral